RNAcentral lists this ribosomal RNA (253 nucleotides) under uncultured bacterium. RNAcentral describes it as "partial 16S ribosomal RNA". It matches the Rfam family "Bacterial small subunit ribosomal RNA", at positions 524 to 776 of the family's 1533-position model. The record is from RNAcentral.
UACAGAGGUCUCAAGCGUUGUUCGGAUUCAUUGGGCGUAAAGGGUGCGUAGGUGGCGCUGUAAGUCGGGUGUGAAAUUUCGGAGCUUAACUCCGAAACUGCAUUCGAUACUGCGGUGCUUGAGGACUGGAGAGGAGACUGGAAUUCAUGGUGUAGCAGUGAAAUGCGUAGAGAUCAUGAGGAAGACCAGUGGCGAAGGCGGGUCUCUGGACAGUUACUGACACUGAGGCACGAAGGCCAGGGGAGCAAACGGG